This 253-nucleotide ribosomal RNA is filed under the name uncultured bacterium. RNAcentral describes it as "partial 16S ribosomal RNA". It matches the Rfam family "Bacterial small subunit ribosomal RNA", at positions 524 to 776 of the family's 1533-position model. The record is from RNAcentral.
GACAGAGGCCUCGAGCGUUAGGCGGAAUCACUGGGCUUAAAGCGUGUGUAGGUGGAUGCCUAAGUGCCUUGUGAAAUCCCACGGCUCAACCGUGGAACUGCUUGGCAUACUGGGUGUCUUGAGCCACUUAGGGGUUACCGGAACAAACGGUGGAGCGGUGAAAUGCGUAGAUAUCGUUUGGAACGCCAAUGGUGAAAACAGGUAACUGGGAGUGUGCUGACACUGAGACACGAAAGCCAGGGGAGCGAACGGG